CCAGACUCCUACGGGAGGCAGCAGUGAGGAAUAUUGGUCAAUGGGCGCGAGCCUGAACCAGCCAAGUCGCGUGAGGGAUGACGGCCCUACGGGUUGUAAACCUCUUUUGUCGGGGAGCAAAUUCCGUUACGUGUAACGGAGUCGAGAGUACCCGAAGAAAAAGCAUCGGCUAACUCCGUGCCAGCAGCCGCGGUAAUACGGAGGAUGCGAGCGUUAUCCGGAUUUAUUGGGUUUAAAGGGUGCGUAGGCGGAAGGUUAAGUCAGCGGUCAAAUGUCGGUGCUCAACACCGGCCUGCCGUUGAAACUGGUCUUCUUGAGUGAGCGAGAAGUAUACGGAAUGCGUGGUGUAGCGGUGAAAUGCAUAGAUAUCGCGCAGAACUCCGAUUGCGAAGGCAGCAUGCCGGCUCCACACUGACGCUGAGGCACGAAAGCGUGGGUAUCGAACAGGAUUAGAUACCCGGGUAA
Molecule: ribosomal RNA, 465 nt
Filed under: uncultured bacterium
Lineage: Bacteria
Description: bacterial SSU rRNA
Rfam family: Bacterial small subunit ribosomal RNA
Source: RNAcentral